RNAcentral lists this ribosomal RNA (354 nucleotides) under uncultured bacterium. RNAcentral describes it as "bacterial SSU rRNA". It matches the Rfam family "Bacterial small subunit ribosomal RNA", at positions 8 to 353 of the family's 1533-position model. The record is from RNAcentral.
AGAGUUGAUCAUGGCUCAGGAUGAACGCUAGCUACAGGCUUAACACAUGCAAGUCGAGGGGAAACGACAUCGAAAGCUUGCUUUUGAUGGGCGUCGACCGGCGCACGGGUGAGUAACGCGUAUCCAACCUGCCCACCACUUGGGGAUAACCUUGCGAAAGUAAGACUAAUACCCAAUGAUAUCUCUAGAAGACAUCUGAAAGAGAUUAAAGAUUUAUCGGUGAGUGGAUGGGAUGCGUCUGAUUAGCUUGUUGCGGGGUAACGGCCCACCAAGGCAACGAUCAGUAGGGGUUCUGAGAGGAAGGUCCCCCACAUUGGAACUGAGACACGGUCCAAACUCCUACGGGAGGCAGCA